This is a long non-coding RNA of Ostrea edulis (European flat oyster), 2533 nucleotides long. RefSeq lists it as uncharacterized. The record is from RefSeq and is a predicted model, not a curated record. NCBI's taxonomy places the organism in Eukaryota, Metazoa, Mollusca, Bivalvia, Ostreida, Ostreidae. The transcript is spliced from 4 exons.
GAAACUGCGACGAACUUGCAUCCACAAUGCCUUUGUUCAUAAAGUUUACGUUUUCAGAGCAUUAAUUUUUGAAGGCAAGUGGCAGGAACAUCAAGGCAAUGUAGAGGACCCCUAGGACUAUCAUUUACUGCUAUCAGCUCGGGGUUGUAGUGGUACCACCCGGUGGCUCCCUGGGGUCGGGACAUAUUUCGAGUCCCUAUUUCUACUCUAGGAGGGGAGACAGGGACGAUGUAUCCAUUGAUUGAGCAAUAAUCUUUGAAUACAAGGCGGAAGGAACAUCAAUGCAAGGUAGAGGACCCCUAGGAUUAUCAUUUACAGCUUUGAGUUUGGGGUUUUAGUGGUACCCCCGGUGGCUCCCGGGGGUCAGGACAGAUUUGGAGCCCCUAUUUCUACACUAGGAGGAGUGAUGGGGGCAAUGACCAUUGAUUGAGGUAGAGAAUACUAAGGGGUACUCGAUGCCAUGUAAAGAAGAGCUCUAAGAUACCCGGAAGUAUUGUUUAACUCACCUAAAGAAGAGACUUAUCAACUCACGCAUCCUGUUUGAAGCCGUAGAGGUACCACCUGGUGGCCCUAGUGGGUCGCGACAGAUUGAUGGUCUUUACGUCUAGUCUUUCAUCUAUUCAGGAAGGAUCAAAGAGACCAUUGAACCUCGUACGGGAUUCUAGAAGGUAUUUCAUUCCAAGCAGGCAAAAUAAGUGUUGUACCUUACGGUGUUUAAGAUCGCCUGAAAAAUACAUCUUUAGAUAUCCCCAAUUGGAAAUAUGGGAGAAAGAAAUGUUGCUGUAUUUGAAGAUAGUAGAAACCUGAUGGCAUAAAAAUGCUUUUGUGUUUUCAGGAGCGAUGGCAUAUUUGAUCUCUUUAGAUUAUUUCAUAGCUAUAUAUUUUACAUCAGAAAUUUUGCAACCAUAAACGGAGGGGUGAUGAGUCUUUGAGGAACAAGCAAAUUAUUGAUAAAAAUGCAAUGGCCUUCCUUAGAAAAUUUCGCUUAGUACAGAGUAUCCCUAGUAUUGUGAACGAACAGCAGUAGUUACUAUGGAUAAUUUAUAUAGAUUUAGCUGGCGACCGCCAUUUGAUUUAAGUGGUGACCGCCAUUCAUUAUCUGGCGGCGCAACUUAAUUUAACUGGCAGAAGCCACUUUUUAUAUUAUGGUAACCGCCAUGUAAUGAAGUUGAUUCAGUUUUGCUGAUUUAGCAUUUUGUAUUUUUCGUUUGUUUUGGUUUUGAUGCAAAUGGGUUAUCGUAAGAGUGAGUCUUUAGUUGCUAGUAUAAAAGAGACCGGUUUGGCUGGCUGUAAGUUAAAUGGGACACGGUAACGACAUCAGCCGGGUGCCACGUUGAUAGGUCCUAGAAGUUCAGGGGAUGGUUAUUUUCCUGUCAUAUUUGAUGUAGGACAUUGGGAGAAAUAUAACUACUGAAUUAGGAGUUUGUUUGGAAGGCACAUCUUUUUCUUAGCCGGUAAGCGUUUUUUGUUUGUAUUCUGAUAGUUCGUGAGUAUUAGUAAUUAGUCUAGCACGGUCUUGUUAUUUGUAAGUUCUCGGUUUCUUGUUUGGUUGCAAGUUGGUAGUUUUUUUAAUAUAAAAUUAAUGUCAGUGCGUACAUGGGUGUUUCACAAAACCAGUUUCAACCGAAGGCAGGCAGAGAGUUGCGGGGUUCGGAUAUACGUAUGUCCAUGCGGAUAUUGUGCUACGUAGAGAAUAACCCGAGACUUGGGAGGCAUCGUAACCCUGGUAUAUUGUCAGGAAUUGACGAUAGCUCGUGAAAGGCUUGCAUGGUGGUGGAUUGUUUUCCGUUCUGGGUGUGCUUAUCGCAAGUUGGCGGGAAACCGGAACAAUGUCUUCAGAGUGCAGAUUAGUUACAUUAUAAAGUUAAAGUAACUCGAAAUUUAGAAACAAACUCAAAGAAAAUUAUGACCCCUGGGUCGAGGAGGCCUCUUCUGGUGGACUGUUAGUCCCCGUGGGUCUCUACAGCCCAGUAGCUAAAUACUUCGUUACUAGCUUGAAAAUACCGAUGUAUAUUUAAUUGCUGCGAUAAAAUGUAGAAAUUCAUUUCAAAAUUAAGGAAUAUCUCCCCCAUGCAUAGCUCUUAUCCUUGGACGAAUUUGGCUCCAGUUUUUGGCACUCUAGUUUUCCUUUUAGCUCCUACAAGUUUAUUGUUAUUUCGAUUUUUCAAACUUUCGGCUUGAGCAUCAUUGAUGAGACAUUAUUUUUCGAAAUCCGCAUGUGGUGCAUCAAAAUUGGUACCGUAUAAGUUUUACAUAUUACUGAAAAGGAGCAUUGGAUAUUGGAACUUUUUCUAAAUUUAACUACUUUUGAAUAUUGUUUUAACUUGAAAAGUUAAUACCUGUACAUUUUGCUUUACAUCUGAUACGUACUAUCGAAAAUUUCAAAAGAACUGUUUACAACGUAUCAGAUAUCUAUAUUGCCAAUUGCUUAUUCGUGUAAAUUUGUGUUGAGAGUGAAAGGAGUGAGUGUGCAUAUGUUUUUUUGUAUUAUUUAUUCAUUUAAACAAUAAAUUUGUACUUGUUUAUUCUACAA